Molecule: ribosomal RNA, 560 nt
Filed under: Vibrio mediterranei
Lineage: Bacteria; Pseudomonadati; Pseudomonadota; Gammaproteobacteria; Vibrionales; Vibrionaceae
Description: bacterial SSU rRNA
Rfam family: Bacterial small subunit ribosomal RNA
Source: RNAcentral
CGGCUCAAAGAGGGGGACCUUCGGGCCUCUCGCGUCAGGAUAUGCCCAGGUGGGAUUAGCUAGUUGGUGAGGUAAGGGCUCACCAAGGCGACGAUCCCUAGCUGGUCUGAGAGGAUGAUCAGCCACACUGGAACUGAGACACGGUCCAGACUCCUACGGGAGGCAGCAGUGGGGAAUAUUGCACAAUGGGCGCAAGCCUGAUGCAGCCAUGCCGCGUGUAUGAAGAAGGCCUUCGGGUUGUAAAGUACUUUCAGCAGUGAGGAAGGCAGGUACGUUAAUAGCGUGCUUGUUUGACGUUAGCUGCAGAAGAAGCACCGGCUAACUCCGUGCCAGCAGCCGCGGUAAUACGGAGGGUGCGAGCGUUAAUCGGAAUUACUGGGCGUAAAGCGCAUGCAGGUGGUUUGUUAAGUCAGAUGUGAAAGCCCGGGGCUCAACCUCGGAAUUGCAUUUGAAACUGGCAGACUAGAGUACUGUAGAGGGGGGUAGAAUUUCAGGUGUAGCGGUGAAAUGCGUAGAGAUCUGAAGGAAUACCGGUGGCGAAGGCGGCCCCCUGGACAGAU